AGUUAAUGAACUUGAAUAAGUAUAUGUUUUGAAAACAUAACAUAGUAGUAAAACCUUCUAUUAACUU
Molecule: transfer RNA, 67 nt
Filed under: Contacyphon sp. BT0012
Lineage: Eukaryota; Metazoa; Arthropoda; Insecta; Coleoptera; Scirtidae
Description: tRNA-Ser
Source: RNAcentral